RNAcentral lists this small RNA (89 nucleotides) under Flavobacterium collinsii. RNAcentral's name for it is "Flavo-1". It matches the Rfam family "Flavo-1 RNA". Lineage: Bacteria; Pseudomonadati; Bacteroidota; Flavobacteriia; Flavobacteriales; Flavobacteriaceae. The record is from RNAcentral.
CUAUUGCCGAAUCGCAUUAGGGAUAGAAGUGAAAAUCCUUUUGUGCUGGGGUUCGGCACAAAAGAUUGAAGCGUAUAGCCCGACCCGCU